RNAcentral lists this ribosomal RNA (256 nucleotides) under uncultured bacterium. RNAcentral describes it as "partial 16S ribosomal RNA". It matches the Rfam family "Bacterial small subunit ribosomal RNA", at positions 524 to 776 of the family's 1533-position model. The record is from RNAcentral.
GACGUAGGUGGCGAACGUUAUCCGGAAUUAUUGGGCGUAAAGGGUGCGUAGGUGGCCUGACAAGUUAUCAGUGGCAAAUCGAGGCUCAACCUCGUGGAAACUGGUAAUACUGUCCGGCUUGAGUACAGGAGAGGUUAACGGAACUCUAUGUGGAGCGGUAAAAUGCACAGAUAUAUAGAAGAACAUCAAUAACGGCGAAGGCAGUUAACUAUUCUGUUACUGACAUUGAGGCACGAAAGCGUGGGGAGCAAAACGG